GCCUACGGGGCGCAGCAGUGGGGAAUAUUGGGCAAUGGGCGCAAGCCUGACCCAGCAACGCCGCGUGAAGGAAGAAGGCUUUCGGGUUGUAAACUUCUUUUGUCAGGGACGAAGCAAGUGACGGUACCUGACGAAUAAGCCACGGCUAACUACGUGCCAGCAGCCGCGGUAAUACGUAGGGGGCAAGCGUUAUCCGGAUUUACUGGGUGUAAAGGGAGCGCAGGCGGCGUGGCAAGUCAGAUGUGAAAACCCGGGGCCCAACCCCGGGAGUGCAUUUGAAACUGCCAUGCUGGAGUGCCGGAGAG
Molecule: ribosomal RNA, 305 nt
Filed under: uncultured bacterium
Lineage: Bacteria
Description: bacterial SSU rRNA
Rfam family: Bacterial small subunit ribosomal RNA
Source: RNAcentral